GAAGCGUAUUUAGACGCCUAAGCGCGGUUUAACCAAAACCCAUGGAGGUGGAGGAGCCCUGUGGCCGUUCAGAUACAGAAUGCAGACCCUCGUGGUUUUCACUUUCAUCGUUCCACAACAUCUGCACGUGUUUUAUUGACAGAGAAACGGACUGUUUGGUUGUUUGAGGUUGAGGAUGGAAUUGGAGAUUCAUUGGGGCUUCUCUGCGGUACCGGCAGAUCGCGGGUGAAGGAAGCGUGGCUCGGAGUCCAAAUACAGCCAGCCCCGGGACUUCUGUAAUGUAGCGCUGACCACGUUCACCUUUCAAAUGGCUGUGCCAGACAUCUCAGCAUACCAGGCUCAGUCUCGACCGAGCCUGCCCAUGCUGCGUCCCUGCAUUACAGAAAGUCAGGUUAUCCAAUAUGUAUAUUGCAGUGGGUCCUGGAGGCCCCAGUCAGCACGGUCCCUGCUCCAUCAAUAUGGCACGUUGCAUGCUAGCACUGUUGGCCUCUACACACCCCACUGCUGCACUAGCAGUAGGGGCAGCUGAAAUCACCUCCAAUGUGGUGUGUGACUACUUUAGAUGCCAACGAUCUUAACUGCACACGGUCCCUUCACUUCUUAUGCCCCCUGGAAGCUGGGGUAAGCCCAGUACACACCUCCCAAAGGAUGGAUCGCUCUGGUCCGGUGCACGCAGGCAAGCUGUGCCAAGAAGCUGUGGACAAACAGGGGACAGUUUUGUUCCCACUCAGGACAGGAAUGGCAGGAUCGCCAGAUGCAGGAAAGGUGAAGGAUGCAGGAAGGGUGAGGCUGUGUGACUUAGAAGCCAGGAAAGGAAGUGCACUGCAUUCUUAGAGAGUCAUUCAUUAAUGUAAUCAACUCCUAGGCUAUACCUCUCUUCAGACCCCAUGCCAGCCUUGAGAGAAACUGUGUGCGUGCAAGAACUGACCCCUCUGCCUUUGGGGUAGUUCGCUCUCAUUUGAAGGCUCUUGAUUUCCAAUACACCCAACAAGGCCCCUCGUCCGGAUUAAGCAGAUUCCACUCAGCUGGUAAAUUACCUUCUGUCCGACAGGCAGGCCGCAACCUGAUAAUUUUAUCUCCAAGGGCUUGUUUAAUAUUUAAGUGACCAAAUGCUGCCUAUGUUAGACUUUCCCACUGAGGUCUCAGAGGGAUUUUGCUGGGUGAAUGCUCUGAAAUGUAAGGGUGGGGGGAUAGUAAGGGGACCCUGGUCUCCCCUU
This 1217-nucleotide long non-coding RNA is filed under the name Chrysemys picta bellii (western painted turtle). Its description in RNAcentral is "lncRNA (ENSCPBG00000018038.1)". The record is from RNAcentral. Lineage: Eukaryota; Metazoa; Chordata; Testudines; Emydidae.